Molecule: ribosomal RNA, 376 nt
Filed under: uncultured bacterium
Lineage: Bacteria
Description: bacterial SSU rRNA
Rfam family: Bacterial small subunit ribosomal RNA
Source: RNAcentral
UGAGGAAUAUUGGGCAAUGCCCGAAAGGGUGACCCAGCAACGCCGCGUGGAGGAUGAAUGCCGUAAGGUUGUAAACUCCUGUUAGAGGGGAAGAAAAAUCUCGAUCAAAUCGGGAACUGACUGUACCCUCAGAGAAAGCCCCGGCUAACUACGUGCCAGCAGCCGCGGUAAUACGUAGGGGGCAAGCGUUGUCCGGAUUCACUGGGUGUAAAGGGCGCGCAGGCGGGUUAGCAAGUCAGAGGUGAAAUCCUACAGCUUAACUGUAGAACUGCCUUUGAAACUGCUAAUCUUGAGUACGGAAGAGAGAGAUGGAAUUCCAGGUGUAGUGGUGAAAUACGUAGAUAUCUGGAAGAACACCAGUGGCGAAGGCGGUACU